Long non-coding RNA from Bubalus bubalis (water buffalo), 3098 nucleotides. RefSeq lists it as uncharacterized. Lineage: Eukaryota; Metazoa; Chordata; Mammalia; Artiodactyla; Bovidae. The transcript is spliced from 3 exons. The record is from RefSeq and is a predicted model, not a curated record.
UACCUGACUGGAAGAAACCAUGAGGAGUAAGAAUUUGGGUGGAGUCCUUUGUAGGAAGAAUCACCAGGAUGGUUUUGGAGGCAACUCGAGGUUGACCAUUCUGCUCCAGACUUCUUAGGGAGCACAAUGCAGCCUCAUGAAAUGGACAGUCUUACUACGUGGGUGCAUCUUCUAAUUUUAGCUGGGUGAUGGUUUCUGUGUGUCUUCAGGCAAGUCUACUCCCUUCUGUCUCUCUGGUCUCUACUUUCCAGCAUUACCACAGACCAUUCUCUAUCUUGCUCAGGCUGCUUUGGCUCUGCAGAAUGCAAGUAGUUUAUUUAGUAAGUGAUCCCUGGAAAUGUGGAUGAGGGACAUGGUGCAGAAGACAAGGGGGAGAAGAAAGGCAAUAAAUGUGAGUUAUUCAGUAUGACCCCUCUGGGCACCUGGGGCUGAAUCCUGCUCAGGCACCUGGGAGCCCAUAUAGAACACACACUCCUCAUCCUUCCCAAGGGCAGAGUGACCUUCUGGAACUUUGGAGAAAGCCCUCGAAGAGUUGUACGUUCUGGCCUCUGGAAGACUGGUUGGUAUGCACAAGAAGUGUCCACUGCCAAGAGGAUAUGGGGGUUCCACAACAAGAUUCUGAUGCAACAAGAAAAAUAAACCACAAUUUGUUUAAGCCCCUGGAGAAGGGCUUCCUGUGACCUGCAGCUAAAGGGAUUCUCAAGACAGGCAACACCAUUACCUCACCUGAAUAUACUCAUCCAUUAGGGAAGAAUCACAUCCAUUUUUAACUCACUGUUCAUCAUCUCUUACAAAAUACAAGAAGCCAACAUAUCACACAAGGCCCAGGCAGAUGUGAAAGGGAUGUGUUUCAACCUGGCAGCCAGGCCUUCAUGGAGCAAAUGAACCACGUAUGCCAGACCCACCCAGAUAUCUCCAGGAUUUGGCUUGUGAGCCCAAGCAUCACAUAUUAUGUUUAUAAAAGUCGGGAAGAAAGAGAGCUGGGAGAGCAGAGGCCUGAGGGGGAAGCAGAGAUGCACACACAGAGGCCAUUUUACUCCCGUGAAGAGGAGCAGACGUUUCUUCUGUUGCACUUUCCUCCCCUGGAUGGGGCUGAGACUUGGGGGGACCAUUUCUCCCAGGGUUCGAGGUGGGGGGUCUGACAGGAGCCUGGGAGGUGGGAGGUGGGUCAGGGCUCUUCCUUCCCAGCUUUAGUCAUGCAUGGGGUCCUGAGGAGACCACGGGCUGUUUACAUUCUCUUCUGGGGAUCCACUGGGGAAGAAGCUCUCUGAUUGCCAAACAGCCUCACAUUGGCUCCAGAAACCUCCAUUUGGAAGGUCUUCCACGUUGACCCCAGCCCAUCCCAUGUUUGACCCCAACUUGCAGGCUCAGGGCAGCCUUUUAAACCUUUCCCUCCUCACUGCUUUGGACAGCAUGUCCCCUCAGCCUCAGUCAUCCCGGACUCAGCCUCAUUCCCAGACAGACUCCUACGAGAGGCCUUGGAAGCUCAGCGAGACCCCCCUGAGUCUUCCUAUGCUCCCAAAAUGCCACAGACUAAACACUGAGUCACCACUCACUCGCUACUCUCCCUGAAGCUCUGGUUUCAGAGGGAGGACCCGAGGGUUUGACUGAGGGAAAUAGUUUCCCCCUUUUCUCGCUGGGUGGUUUUAAGGUGCGGCAAGAUUGCUGGGAAAGUUGUGGGUGGGCCGAGGGCCAAGUACAAUGUAGGUAUCCCUGGGUCAGCAUUUCGUCUGAGCAUCAACCCUGGCCUCUCCCUCCGCCCUACCCCUCCCACUUCCACAGACUGCAGCCAGGCUUCCGGAAGGGAAUGUGGCAAUAGUGCCACCUGAUCCUGUCCACAGCCCUACAGGGAAGCCCAGGGAGGCUUUUCCUAUUUUGCAGAUGAAGAAACUGUGCUCCAAGAAAACAGAGGACUUGCAACCUAGCUAUGGCUAAAGAGUGCUGGAGCCUGGUCUCAGAGCCAUAUCUCCAGCCGAGUGCUCUCACCCCGGCAGGCGGCUGCAGGAAACAGCUGGAAUGUGUAAUGAGAAGAGGGACUGGGAAACUCAAUGUUGGAUUCUUAGGAGAAAAAGGAAACUGACCUCCCACAGUGAAAUGAGCAAGGCGUGGCUCACGGGCCAACUGGGCAUUUGUUCAGUGGCCUAUUCAAUGACCCAAAGGCUGCACUUUUCCAUGGGUGGGGAAAAGUAGGGCAGAAUCUGUUGGCUCCUAGCAUCCCGACCUUGGAGCUAGACCCUGGGAACUUGCUUAGCUUACUCCUCAGGGGCUGGUCCACCCUGUGCAACCUGGUGCACAACUCAAAUGCUUGGCAUGGCUGUCUGAAGAUUGGGAUGAUCUGUUUGUGGAUGGGAGGGAGGUCUGGUCAUUUAUAUCUUAGUGGGAGAGUUCCAGGAUCAUGACCUGUCACUGUGAAGGCAUUUCAAAAAGCAGCCUACCAGGGGAAUCCACACUGAGGUUGAUGAGCAGCAAAUUCUUGUCCAAACCAUACAUGACUAUUGCACACCAGUCUGUGCUGUUUCCUUUUUUCCUACUCCAUAUCAGUGGACCUCUUCAUGGGUAAAAGGAGGAUGGGAUAGAGAAUGAGAGGAAGGUAACAGAAGCACUUGAAAACUGAGGCUGAUAUACAUCACUGCUGCUGCUGCUGCUGCUAAGUCAUUUCAGUCGUGUCCGACUCUGUGUGACCCCAUGGACUGCAGCCCACCAGGGUCCUCCAUCCAUGGGAUUUUCCAGGCAAGAGUACUGGAGUGGGGUGCCAUUGCCUUCUCCGGACAUACAUCACUGCACCUCUUUAAAACACAAAACCCCAAAUACUGGAGGAUUCUCUUCUAUCCUCAUUUCAAAUCUUGGGAAAGCCUCCAGUUAAUAGCAUUGACUUCCACACUCACUCCCAUAAAGCCAUUCCUCAGGAGAAGUUCUGAAAAGGAGAGUCUGACUCAGGCAAUGUUCUGAAAUACUUUUAACCAUGACCUACACAUCAUGUAAAUGUGACUGAAACAAGUUUCACAAUGUGAUAUUUACCCUUACUUCUUGCAAUGACUUCUAUGUUCUAUUCUGCUGCCAUUUUUAUCACUAAAAAUAAAUACAGGUUGACUCACUAA